This 479-nucleotide ribosomal RNA is filed under the name uncultured bacterium. RNAcentral's name for it is "partial 16S ribosomal RNA". It matches the Rfam family "Bacterial small subunit ribosomal RNA", at positions 28 to 507 of the family's 1533-position model. The record is from RNAcentral.
GAUGAACGCUAGCGGCGUGCUUAACACAUGCAAGUCGAGCGAGAAGUUUUGAAAAGAUUCUUCGGAUGAAAUUUAAAAUGGAAAGCGGCGGACGGGUGAGUAACGCGUAGGCAACCUGCCCCAUACAAAGGGAUAGCAUUUGGAAACGAAUAUUAAUACCUUAUGAAACUUAACUAGUGCAUGCUAGGUAGGUCAAAGAUUUAUCGGUAUGGGAUGGGCCUGCGUCUGAUUAGCUAGUUGGUGAGGUAACGGCUCACCAAGGCGACGAUCAGUAGCCGACCUGAGAGGGUGAACGGCCACAUUGGAACUGAGACACGGUCCAAACUCCUACGGGAGGCAGCAGUGGGGAAUAUUGCACAAUGGGGGAAACCCUGAUGCAGCAACGCCGCGUGAACGAUGAAGGCCUUUGGGUCGUAAAGUUCUGUUCUAGGUGAUGAAAACUGACAGUAACCUAGGAGAAAGCCCCGGCUAACUCCGUG